GAGUUUGAUCUUGGCUCAGAUUGAACGCUGGCGGCAUGCCUUACACAUGCAAGUCGAACGGCAGCACGGGAGCUUGCUCCUGGUGGCGAGUGGCGAACGGGUGAGUAAUGCAUCGGAACGUAUCCUGGAGUGGGGGAUAACGUAGCGAAAGUUACGCUAAUACCGCAUAUUCUGUGAGCAGGAAAGCGGGGGACCUUCGGGCCUCGCGCUCUUGGAGCGGCCGAUGUCGGAUUAGCUAGUUGGUGAGGUAAAGGCUCACCAAGGCGACGAUCCGUAGCAGGUCUGAGAGGAUGAUCUGCCACACUGGAACUGAGACACGGUCCAGACUCCUACGGGAGGCAGCAGUGGGGAAUUUUGGGACAAUGGGGGCAACCCUGAUCCAGCCAUGCCGCGUGAGUGAAGAAGGCCUCGG
RNAcentral lists this ribosomal RNA (412 nucleotides) under bacterium enrichment culture clone ALO1_GLFRUDD03F2BQX. RNAcentral describes it as "bacterial SSU rRNA". It matches the Rfam family "Bacterial small subunit ribosomal RNA", at positions 9 to 420 of the family's 1533-position model. RNAcentral also lists the same sequence under 1 other name. The record is from RNAcentral.